RNAcentral lists this ribosomal RNA (1347 nucleotides) under metagenome. RNAcentral's name for it is "bacterial LSU rRNA". It matches the Rfam family "Bacterial large subunit ribosomal RNA", at positions 1564 to 2925 of the family's 2925-position model. The record is from RNAcentral.
UGAGUACGAGCUGCUACGGCAGCGAAGUGGGUGAUGUCAAGCUUCCAAGAAAAGCCCUAUACCCGUUAAGGCAUGAUGGCCUGUACCCGAAACCGACACAGGUGGGGUGGUAGAGAAUACCGAGGGGCGCGAGAUAACUCUCUCUAAGGAACUCGGCAAAAUGGCCCCGUAACUUCGGGAGAAGGGGUGCCACCGCAAGGUGGUCGCAGUGAAGAGGCCCAGGCGACUGUUUACCAAAAACACAGGUCUCCGCUAAGUCGCAAGACGAUGUAUGGGGGCUGACGCCUGCCCAGUGCCGGAAGGUUAAGGAAGCUGGUCAGCGAAAGCGAAGCUAGCGACUGAAGCCCCGGUGAACGGCGGCCGUAACGAUAACGGUCCUAAGGUAGCGAAAUUCCUUGUCGGGUAAGUUCCGACCCGCACGAAAGGCGUAACGAUCUGGGCGCUGUCUCGGAGAGAGGCUCGGCGAAAUAGAAUUGUCUGUGAAGAUGCGGACUACGUGCACCCGGACAGAAAGACCCUAUGAAGCUUUACUGUAGCUUGGUAUUGUGCUCGGGCUCGGAAUGCGCAGGAUAGGUGGGAGGCUAUGAACCAUUGCUUGUGGGUGAUGGUGAGCCACUGGUGAGAUACCACUCUUUCCGAGCUAGAGUUCUAACAGCCACCCGUUAUCCGGGGGCUGGACAGUAUCAGGUGGGCAGUUUGACUGGGGCGGUCGCCUCCUAAAAGGUAACGGAGGCGCGCAAAGGUUUGCUCAGGCUGGUUGGAAAUCAGCCGACGAGUGUAAAAGCAGAAGCAAGCUUGACUGUGAGACCUACAAGUCGAACAGGGAGGAAACUCGGCUUUAGUGAUCCGACGGUUCUGCGUGGAAGGGCCGUCGCUCAACGGAUAAAAGUUACUCUAAGGAUAACAGGCUGAUCUCCCCCAAGAGUUCACAUCGACGGGGAGGUUUGGCACCUCGAUGUCGGCUCAUCGCAACCUGGGGCUGAAGUCGGUCCCAAGGGUUGGGCUGUUCGCCCAUUAAAGCGGUACGCGAGCUGGGUUCAGAACGUCGUGAGACAGUUCGGUCCAUAUCCGGUGCAUGCGCAGGAAUAUUGAGAGGAUUUCUCCCUAGUACGAGAGGACCGGGAGGAACGCACCUCUGGUGUACCAGUUAUCGUGCCAACGGUAAACGCUGGGUAGCCAUGUGCGGAGAGGAUAACCGCUGAAAGCAUCUAAGUGGGAAGCCCACCUCAAGAUGAGUAUUCCCAUGGGGUAACCCAGUAAGGUCACGGGAAGAACACCCGUUGAUAGGCUCUACGUGGAAGCGCAGUAAUGUGUGAAGCGGAGGAGUACUAAUAGACCGAGGGCUUG